Molecule: ribosomal RNA, 1900 nt
Filed under: human gut metagenome
Description: bacterial LSU rRNA
Rfam family: Bacterial large subunit ribosomal RNA
Source: RNAcentral
ACCCCGGGAGGGGAGUGAAAUAGAACCUGAAACCGCAUGCAUACAAACAGUAGGAGCCUCGUCAGAGGUGACUGCGUACCUUUUGCAUAAUGGGUCAGCGACUUACAUUCUGUGGCGAGCUUAACCGAAUAGGGGAGGCGCAGCGAAAGCGAGUUCGAAAUGAGCGUUCAGUCGCAGGGUGUAGACCCGAAACCAGAUGAGCUAUCCAUGGCCAGGUUGAAGGUGUGGUAACACACACUGGAGGACCGAACCGACUAGUGUUGCAAAAUUAGCGGAUGAGCUGUGGAUAGGGGUGAAAGGCCAAACAAAUCUGGAGAUAGCUGGUUCUCCCCGAAAACUAUUGAGGUAGUGCCUCGUGUGUCGCUCCAGGGGGUAGAGCACUGUUUUGGCUAGGGGGACAUGGAGUCUUACCAAACCAAGGCAAACUCCGAAUACCUGGAAGCGUAAGCACGGGAGACAGAGCACCGGGUGCUAACGUCCGGACUCAAAAGGGAAACAACCCAGACCGCCGGCUAAGGUCCCAAAUAACAGCUAAGUGGAAAACGAAGUGGAAAGGCCGUGACAACCAGGAAGUUGGCUUAGAAGCAGCCAUCCUUCAAAGAAAGCGUAAUAGCUCACUGGUCGAGUCCUUCUGCGCGGAAGAUGUAACGGGGCUAAGCUGUUAACCGAAGCCGCGGAUGCGCUGGUUAUCCAGUGCGUGGUAGGGGAGCGUUCUGUAAGUCUGCGAAGGCGGUUCGAGAGGACUGCUGGAGAUAUCAGAAGUGCGAAUGCUGACAUGAGUAACGUUAAAGCAGGUGAAAAGCCUGCUCGCCGUAAGCCCAAGGAUUCCUGCUCUACGUUCAUCGGAGCAGGGUGAGUCGGCUCCUAAGGUCAGGCCGAAAGGCGUAGCCGAUGGGAAUCAGGUUAAUAUUCCUGAACCUGCGUCAGAUGCGAUGGGGGGACGGAGCAUGGAAGAUCAUCCGGGUGUUGGAAGUCCCGGUUGUUUAGCGUAGGAGGUCUGCAGGCAAAUCCGCAGACGCAUCUCCAAGGCAAAGACACGUGCCGCCACGGCGGCGAAGUGAUCGGAAGUGCUUCCAAGAAAAGCCUCUAAGCCCCAGUCUGACGCGGACCGUACCGCAAACCGACACUGGUGGGCGAGCUGAAUAUGCUCAGGCGCUUGAGAGAACUCGGGAGAAGGAACUCGGCAAAUUGACACCGUAACUUCGGAAGAAGGUGUGCCGUAGUACCGUGAGAGGAGAGACACCUUGAGCGGGAAACGGUCUCAGAGAAUAGGUGGCUGCGACUGUUUAUUAAAAACACAGCACUCUGCAAAGUCGAAAGACGACGUAUAGGGUGUGAUGCCUGCCCGGUGCUGGAAGAUUAAUUGAUGGGGUGAGAGCCCUUGAUCGAAGUCCCAGUAAACGGCGGCCGUAACUAUAACGGUCCUAAGGUAGCGAAAUUCCUUGUCGGGUAAGUUCCGACCUGCACGAAUGGCAUAACGAUGGCCACACUGUCUCCUCCCGAGACUCAGUGAAGUUGAAAUGUUUGUGAUGAUGCAAUCUACCCGCGGCUAGACGGGAAGACCCCAUGAACCUUUACUGCAGCUUUGCAUUGAACUGUGAACCGAUUUGUGUAGGAUAGGUGGGAGGCAGAGAAGAGGCCACGCCAGUGGUCUUGGAGCCGACCUUGAAAUACCACCCUGAUUUGUUUGCGGUUCUAACCACGGACAGUGAUCCUGUCUUGGGACCGUGCAUGGUAGGCAGUUUGACUGGGGCGGUCUCCUCCUAAAGGGUAACGGAGGAGUACGAAGGUACGCUAGGUACGGUCGGAAAUCGUGCUGAUAGUGCAAUGGCAAAAGCGUGCUUGACUGCGAGAGCAACAACUCGAGCAGAUGCGAAAGCAGGUCAUAGUGAUCCGGUGG